CCCGCACAAGCGGAGGAACAUGUGGUUUAAUUCGAUGAUACGCGAGGAACCUUACCUGGGCUUAAAUGUAGAGUGCAUUUUUUAGAGAUAGAAAUUCCCUUCGGGGCUUUCUGCAAGGUGCUGCAUGGUUGUCGUCAGCUCGUGCCGUGAGGUGUCGGGUUAAGUCCCAUAACGAGCGCAACCCUUAUCGUUAGUUGCCAGCUGGUAAAGCAGGGGACUCUAGCGAAACUGCCACCGUAAGGUGAGAGGAAGUGGGAUGACGUCAAAUCAGCACGGCCCUUAUGUCCAGGGCUACACACGUGUUACAAUGGCCGGCACAGAGGGCAGCUACCUGGUGACAGGAUGCUAAUCUCGAAAACCGGUCUCAGUUCGGAUCGAAGUCUGCAACUCGACUUCAUGAAGCCGGAAUCGCUAGUAAUCGCGGAUCAGCAUGCCGCGGUGAAUACGUUCCCGGGCCUU
Molecule: ribosomal RNA, 459 nt
Filed under: uncultured Sphingobacteriales bacterium
Lineage: Bacteria; Pseudomonadati; Bacteroidota; Sphingobacteriia; Sphingobacteriales
Description: bacterial SSU rRNA
Rfam family: Bacterial small subunit ribosomal RNA
Source: RNAcentral